RNAcentral lists this ribosomal RNA (459 nucleotides) under uncultured bacterium. RNAcentral describes it as "partial 16S ribosomal RNA". It matches the Rfam family "Bacterial small subunit ribosomal RNA", at positions 338 to 795 of the family's 1533-position model. The record is from RNAcentral.
CCUACGGGGGGCAGCAGUGAGGAAUAUUGGUCAAUGGGCGCGAGCCUGAACCAGCCAAGUCGCGUGAGGGAAGACGGUCCUAUGGAUUGUAAACCCCUUUUGUCGGGGAGCAAAAGACGCCACGCGUGGCGUUCCGAGAGUACCCGAAGAAAAAGCAUCGGCUAACACCGUGCCAGCAGCCGCGGUAAUACGGAGGAUGCGAGCGUUAUCCGGAUUUAUUGGGUUAAAAGGGUGCGCAGGCGGAAGAUCAAGUCGGCGGUAAAAUUGAGGGGCUCAACCUCUUCGAGCCGUUGAAACUGGAUUUCGUGAGUGAGUGAGAAGUAUGCGGAAUGCGUAGUGUAGCGGUGAAAUGCAUAGAUAUCACGCAGAACUCCGAUUGCGAAGGCAGCAUACCGGCGCUCAACUGACGCUCAUGCACGAAAGUGUGGGUAUCGAACAGGAUUAGAUACCCUUGUAGUC